Molecule: small nuclear RNA, 145 nt
Organism: Myotis myotis
Lineage: Eukaryota; Metazoa; Chordata; Mammalia; Chiroptera; Vespertilionidae
Product: U4 spliceosomal RNA
Exons: 1
Source: RefSeq, a predicted model, not a curated record
AACUUUGCACAGUGGCAGUAUCAGAGCCAAUGAGGUUUAUCCAAGGUGCGAUUAUUGCUAAUUGAAAAAUAAAAUAAAAUAAGGAUCCAGGCUGGCCAACAAAAGGCCCUGCACCUAAUCAUUCUGUGAACUGCUCCUCUAGAGA